UGGCGAUCGAAAAGAUUAAGCCAUGCAUGUCUCAGUGCAGGCCUUUAUACGGUGAAACCGCGAAUGGCUCAUUAAAUCAGCUAUGGUUUAUUGGAUCGUACCCGUUAAAUGGAUAACUGUAACAACUCUAGAGCUAAUACAUGCCUCGAUGCCCAGACCCGUCUGUUGCAGGUGAAGACCUGUAGACUUGGGGGAAUGGGUGCACUUAUUAGAUCAGAAGCCAACCAGUUGUGUCUGGCGGUUGCUGGCUCGCCGGUGACUGUUGGGUGCGCUGUAGAACUUCUGGUGACUCUGGAUAAUUGUUACAGAUCGCAGUCGGCCUUGAGUCGGCGACGGGUCCUUCAAAUGUCUGCCCUAUCAACUUUCGAUGGUAGGUGACCUGCCUACCAUGGUGAUAACGGGUAACGGGGAAUCAGGGUUCGAUUCCGGAGAGGGAGCCUGAGAAACGGCUACCACUUCCAAGGGAGGCAGCAGGCGCGCAAAUUACCCACUCCCAGCACGGGGAGGUGGUGACGAAAAAUACCGAUGCGGGACUCCUUAAUGAGGCUCCGUAAUCGGAAUGAGUGAAUUUUAAAUCCUUUCACGAGGAUCAAUUGGAGGGCAAGUCUGGUGCCAGCAGCCGCGGUAACUCCAGCUCCAAUAGCGUAUAUUAAAGUUGCUGCAGUUAAAAAGCUCGUAGUUGGAUCUCGGUAGCAUUGCUGUCUGCGGAUAAUUGGGCGGCAGUGUGUGACUGUUGGCGGGCGUGCGUGCAGGCAGGCAGUGAGGUAGACACGCGUCGUUCUUCUCUACCUAAGCUUGGGCUGCAAUGUCCUAGCGGUGGUUGGUGGCGACGUUGUGUGUGCUCUGCUGUCCUCGUCGUUGUCGUCGUCGUCGCUGCGGUCAUCGAUUAACGCUGUCGUAUCAAGUCCGCAAGGCUGCGGUGUCACCUUUAAGCCAUGUCUGUGGUCUUGCAUUGGCCUCAGGUGUAGGCGGGUGUCGGGCGGCGCUCUGCACUAGUGUGGGGCCUAGUCGGCUCGUCUGCAUGCCUUUGGAUGCCCUUAAAAAGGUGUCUGCGGGCGGAUGGCACGUUUACUUUGAACAAAUUUGAGUGCUCAAAUCAGGCCGAUGUUGCCUGAAAAGUUUUGCAUGGAAUAAUGGAAUAGGACUUCGGUUCUAUUUCGCUGGUUUUCGGAUCCGAAGUAAUGAUCAAAAGAGACAGGCGGGGACGUUUGUAUGGCUGCGCUAGAGGUGAAAUUCAUUGACCGUAGCCAGACAAACUAAAGCGAAAGCAUUCGUCAAGCAUGUUUUCAUUGGCCAUGAGCGAAAGUCAGAGGCUCGAAGACGAUCAGAUACCGUCCUAGUUCUGACCAUAAACGAUGCCAACUGACGAUCCGUGGUGGUAGUUCUUCAACCUUCCCCACGGGCAGUCUCCGGGAAACCUUUAAGUCUUUGGGUUCCGGGGGAAGUAUGGUUGCAAAGCUGAAACUUAAAGGAAUUGACGGAAGGGCACCACCAGGAGUGGAGCCUGCGGCUUAAUUUGACUCAACACGGGAAAACUCACCCGGGCCGGACACUAUGAGGAUUGACAGAUUGAUAGCUCUUUCUUGAUUUGGUGGUUGGUGGUGCAUGGCCGUUCUUAGUUGGUGGAGCGAUUUGUCUGGUUAAUUCCGAUAACGAACGAGACUCCAGCCUGCUAAUUGGUGCGUUUGUCCACUGUACCUGUGCGGGUGGCAUUGGACCGGAUUGCUGAUGGUUGUACCCUCGUUCGGUUUGCCUUCGUCGGCACUGACAGCUGCUGCUACUGCUGCCGCCGCCGCCGCCGCUGCUGCGUUAUGCGUAGUUGGUUGGUUGGCUGGCUGGCUGGUUGGCUAGUUGGUUGGCUGGUUGUCAGUCUGUCUGGCUGAUUGGCUUGCCGGCGUGGGUGCUUCAAGCUGUCGGUCGGUCAGUCCAGUGUUAGCCUCCGGGUGCGGCGCGAAUGCUUACUUCUUAGAGGGACAAACGGGAGAAGCCGCAUGAGAUAGAGCAAUAACAGGUCUGUGAUGCCCUUAGAUGUCCGGGGCCGCACGCGCGCUACAAUGGCGGUGUCAGCGAGUCAGACCUUCUGACCCGAAAGGGUUGGGUAAACUGGUCAAUCACCGUCAUGACAGGGAUCGGGGCUUGGAAUUGUUCCCCGUGAACGAGGAAUUCCUAGUAAGUGCAAGUCAUAAGCUUGCGCUGAUUACGUCCCUGCCCUUUGUACACACCGCCCGUCGCU
Molecule: ribosomal RNA, 2233 nt
Filed under: Valipora campylancristrota
Lineage: Eukaryota; Metazoa; Platyhelminthes; Cestoda; Cyclophyllidea; Gryporhynchidae
Description: SSU rRNA
Rfam family: Eukaryotic small subunit ribosomal RNA
Source: RNAcentral